CGAUCUGCUGGGGACAGAUAAAAUGAAUAUGGGUAUCAAUACCGCCUGCCGUCACGAUCAUUCCCUCUCCGGCCAGAGCCUCUGUGGAAGCACCCACGGUCAUUCCGGGGGUAACUCCGUCCAUGACGCUGGGAUUUCCGGCUUUUCCGAUUCCCCGGAUCUUUCCGUCCUUGAUCCCUAUAUCUGCCUUGAUGAUUCCGGUACUGUCCACGAUCAGAGCAUUUGUAAUAACAAGAUCCAGGUCUCCGUCAGCGCUUGUUGUCUUUACAGACUGCCCCAUACCGUCCC
RNAcentral lists this small RNA (288 nucleotides) under uncultured Blautia sp. RNAcentral's name for it is "5' ureB small RNA". It matches the Rfam family "5' ureB small RNA". Lineage: Bacteria; Bacillati; Bacillota; Clostridia; Lachnospirales; Lachnospiraceae. The record is from RNAcentral.